This 1370-nucleotide ribosomal RNA is filed under the name Salmonella enterica. RNAcentral describes it as "partial 23S ribosomal RNA". It matches the Rfam family "Bacterial large subunit ribosomal RNA", at positions 448 to 1637 of the family's 2925-position model. Lineage: Bacteria; Pseudomonadati; Pseudomonadota; Gammaproteobacteria; Enterobacterales; Enterobacteriaceae. The record is from RNAcentral.
GGGGACCAUCCUCCAAGGCUAAAUACUCCUGACUGACCGAUAGUGAACCAGUACCGUGAGGGAAAGGCGAAAAGAACCCCGGCGAGGGGAGUGAAAAAGAACCUGAAACCGUGUACGUACAAGCAGUGGGAGCCCCACCACUAAGCCAGUGGUGAACUCCACAUACGCAUCCUUUGCUGAAGGCAAUGGUUAACGGAGCGAAAGCGACGUUCAACCGCAAAACAAGCAGAGGGGGCUUAGUGGUGGGGUGACUGCGUACCUUUUGUAUAAUGGGUCAGCGACUUAUAUUCUGUAGCAAGGUUAACCGUAUAGGGGAGCCGGAGGGAAACCGAGUCUUAAUUGGGCGUUAAGUUGCAGGGUAUAGACCCGAAACCCGGUGAUCUAGCCAUGGGCAGGUUGAAGGUUGGGUAACACUAACUGGAGGACCGAACCGACUAAUGUUGAAAAAUUAGCGGAUGACCUGUGGCUGGGGGUGAAAGGCCAAUCAAACCGGGAGAUAGCUGGUUCUCCCCGAAAGCUAUUUAGGUAGCGCCUCGUGAAUUCAUCUCCGGGGGUAGAGCACUGUUUCGGCUAGGGGGCCAUCCCGGCUUACCAACCCGAUGCAAACUGCGAAUACCGGAGAAUGUUAUCACGGGAGACACACGGCGGGUGCUAACGUCCGUCGUGAAGAGGGAAACAACCCAGACCGCCAGCUAAGGUCCCAAAGUCAUGGUUAAGUGGGAAACGAUGUGGGAAGGCCCAGACAGCCAGGAUGUUGGCUUAGAAGCAGCCAUCAUUUAAAGAAAGCGUAAUAGCUCACUGGUCGAGUCGGCCUGCGCGGAAGAUGUAACGGGGCUAAACCAUGCACCGAAGCUGCGGCAGCGAACGUAUCACUUAAAGCGAUUCAGCGGGUUACGAUUGACGGAGCGAAGCGACGUCAAAGCGUAUACAAAGUCGAGUCGGUUUAAGGAUACGUUCGUUGGGUAGGGGAGCGUUCUGUAAGCCUGCGAAGGUGGCCUGUGAGGGUUGCUGGAGGUAUCAGAAGUGCGAAUGCUGACAUAAGUAACGAUAAAGCGGGUGAAAAGCCCGCUCGCCGGAAGACCAAGGGUUCCUGUCCAACGUUAAUCGGGGCAGGGUGAGUCGACCCCUAAGGCGAGGCCGAAAGGCGUAGUCGAUGGGAAACGGGUUAAUAUUCCCGUACUUGGUGUUACUGCGAAGGGGGGACGGAGAAGGCUAUGUUGGCCGGGCGACGGUUGUCCCGGUUUAAGCGUGUAGGCUGGUUUUCCAGGCAAAUCCGGAAAAUCAAGGCUGAGGCGUGACGACGAGGCACUACGGUGCUGAAGCAACAAAUGCCCUGCUUCCAGGAAAAGCCUCUAAGCAUCAGGUAACAC